UACGAGGGGGGCAAGCGUUGUUUGGAAUUAUUGGGCGUAAAGGGCGCGUAGGCGGCGCCACAAGUCACUUGUGAAAACUCUGGGCUCAACUCAGAGCCUGCAAGCGAAACUGUGGUGCUGGAGUAUGGGAGAGGUGCGUGGAAUUCCCGGUGUAGCGGUGAAAUGCGUAGAUAUCAGGAGGAACACCGGUGGCGAAGGCGGCUCGCUGGGCCAUUUCUGACGCUGAGGCGCGAAAGCGUGGGGAGCAAACAGG
RNAcentral lists this ribosomal RNA (253 nucleotides) under uncultured bacterium. RNAcentral's name for it is "partial 16S ribosomal RNA". It matches the Rfam family "Bacterial small subunit ribosomal RNA", at positions 524 to 776 of the family's 1533-position model. The record is from RNAcentral.